CGCGUCGGCACAUACCUGACAAGAGAAAGCUCGACAGCCAGCGUCUCGAGACCGCCACGUGGAUCCACACAUCCACGCCACGUUGCUGAUGUGGCACGUAGGCUCCAGAAAGAGGCCCCUAAAAUACCGGAAGAGGGAUCAAAGCGUUGCCAAGGAAGUGCCUUCAGAGCCACAGCAGUCUGAACAUUGUUGUUCGGUUUCAUUUCUGAAAAACACGGACAUUCAUUGGUUGUUUUUGAACAGAUUUUUUGCUUUUUAUUCCACUGUACCUGCAUGUACCAUAUAUUUGUAAGGAAAUAUUAAUUUAAUAUUAAAUGCACCUAUUUAUUGAAAGGGUCUGUAUAUAAUGAUUUCACAAGCAUUUCAAAAAUCUCAUUAUUUUGGUUAUAAAAGUUCUAUACGACGGAGAGGAAGCUCUGUUUAUUUUCUGCUCCUCCACUAUUAUGCUGAUAAUACCCGCCGUCAUUGUCUUCAUUGCAUUUUAUUUGGCACUUGAGUGACUGCUGACAAUGAGAACAUGUGGAAUAACAACCGUGGUGAUGAUGCACUGCAGUAUUGAACAAUAAAGAAUAUUGAAG
Molecule: long non-coding RNA, 578 nt
Organism: Amphiprion ocellaris (clown anemonefish)
Lineage: Eukaryota; Metazoa; Chordata; Actinopteri; Pomacentridae
Source: Ensembl